UGGGUCUUUGCGGGCGAGAUGA
This 22-nucleotide microRNA is filed under the name Chrysemys picta bellii (western painted turtle). RNAcentral describes it as "Cpi-Mir-193-P1b_5p (mature (guide))". The record is from RNAcentral. RNAcentral also lists the same sequence under 28 other names. Lineage: Eukaryota; Metazoa; Chordata; Testudines; Emydidae.